RNAcentral lists this unclassified non-coding RNA (214 nucleotides) under Hevea brasiliensis (rubber tree). Lineage: Eukaryota; Viridiplantae; Streptophyta; Magnoliopsida; Malpighiales; Euphorbiaceae. The record is from RNAcentral.
GGCCUUCGAGCAUGUGAGCCACAUCGGAGCCAGCAUCAGCAACUUUAUGGUUUUCUGGUUUCCCUGGGUUGCCAGCCACAUCACGAUCGAGCCUGCGAUCCUUCACAUCCUUGUUGCCUUGACCGGGGUCUGGCUGAUCGUCCGCGUCUUUGAACUCUUCCUGACCGGAUGGACGAAGAAUCCUCACGACCAGCUCUUCAUCAACCGGUUUCCA